This 254-nucleotide ribosomal RNA is filed under the name uncultured prokaryote. RNAcentral describes it as "partial 16S ribosomal RNA". It matches the Rfam family "Bacterial small subunit ribosomal RNA", at positions 525 to 777 of the family's 1533-position model. The record is from RNAcentral.
ACGUAGGGUGCGAGCGUUAAUCGGAAUUACUGGGCGUAAAGCGUGCGCAGGCGGUCUUUUAAGACAGGUGUGAAAUCCCCGAGCUUAACUUGGGAAUUGCGCUUGUGACUGGAAGGCUCGGAGUGCGGAAGAGGGAGCUGGAAUUCCUGGUGUAGCAGUGAAAUGCGUAGAUAUCAGGAGGAACACCGGUGGUGUAGACGGCUCACUGGACCGUAACUGACGCUGAGACACGAAAGCGUGGGUAGCAAACAGGA